Molecule: small RNA, 892 nt
Filed under: Pan troglodytes (chimpanzee)
Lineage: Eukaryota; Metazoa; Chordata; Mammalia; Primates; Hominidae
Description: processed transcript
Source: RNAcentral
GAAAACCUACAACUGCUACCAUGAGGGCAAGAGCUUCCAGCUGAGACACCGUGAGGAAGAAGGGACUCUGAUCAUCGAGGGGCUCCUCAACAUUGCCUGGGGGCUGAGGCGGCCCAUCCGGCUGCAGAUGCAGGAUGACCGGGAGCAGGUGCACCUCCCCUCCACCUCAUGGAUGCCCGGAUGGCCCAGCUGCCCUCCGGCCCCUGGAGGAGGCAGAGGAGGCCCCCCAGCUGAUGCGGACCAAGAGCGACGCCAGUUGCAUGAGCCAGAGGAGGCCCAAGUGCCGCACCCCCGGUGAGGCCCAGCGCAUCCGGCGACACCGGUUCUCUAUCAACGGCCACUUCUACAAUCAUAAGACCUCCGUGUUUACUCCAGCCUACGGAUCCGUGACCAAUGUGAGGGUCAACAGCACCAUGACAACCCUGCAGGUGCUCACCCUGCUGCUGAACAAAUUUAGGGUGGAAGAUGGCCCCAGUGAGUUCGCACUCUACAUCGUUCACGAGUCUGGGGAGCGGACAAAAUUAAAAGACUGCGAGUACCCGCUGAUUUCCAGAAUCCUGCAUGGGCCAUGUGAGAAGAUCGCCAGGAUGUUCCUGAUGGAAGCUGACUUGGGCGUGGAAGUCCCCCAUGAAGUCGCUCAGUACAUUAAGUUUGAAAUGCCGGUGCUGGACAGUUUUGUUGAAAAAUUAAAAGAAGAGGAAGAAAGAGAAAUAAUCAAACUGACCAUGAAGUUCCAAGCCCUGCGUCUGACGAUGCUGCAGCGCCUGGAGCAGCUGGUGGAGGCCAAGUAACUGGCCAACACCUGCCUCUUCCAAAGUCCCCAGCAGUGGCAGGUGUACAUUGAUCCCUGGUUGCUGGCCCCGGGCGGUCACAUUGACUGAUGGCCACCGCC